AUCACUAAGCGGAGGAAAAGAAACUAACAAGGAUUCCCCCAGUAACGGCGAGUGAAGCGGGACGAGCCCAGCACCGAAUCCCCCGUCUGCCAGGCGGCGGGAACUGUGGUGUAUGAGACGCCAACUGUCGUCCGUCUCGGUCACCGAAGUCCUCCUGAUCGGGGCCUCUCCCAGAGCGGGUGUCAGGCCUUUACCGGUGACUGGUCGGUCGGCUGCGAACGUCUCCGGAGUCGAGUUGUUUGGGAAUGCAGCUCAAAGAGGGUGGUAAACUCCAUCUAAGGCUAAAUACAUGCACGAGUCCGAUAGCGGACAAGUACCGUGAGGGAAAGUUGAAAA
This 336-nucleotide ribosomal RNA is filed under the name Crassitoniella flammea. RNAcentral describes it as "eukaryotic LSU rRNA". It matches the Rfam family "Eukaryotic large subunit ribosomal RNA", at positions 42 to 370 of the family's 3401-position model. Lineage: Eukaryota; Metazoa; Mollusca; Gastropoda; Littorinimorpha; Eatoniellidae. The record is from RNAcentral.